Vidua chalybeata is the source of this 251-nucleotide long non-coding RNA. RefSeq lists it as uncharacterized. The transcript has 3 exons. The record is from RefSeq and is a predicted model, not a curated record. NCBI's taxonomy places the organism in Eukaryota, Metazoa, Chordata, Aves, Passeriformes, Viduidae.
UGAACUUACGCCAUUUCCUUGGUGCUCCAAGGAGAUCAGUGACUACAACCUGCACAACAUUGCCAGAUCUUCAAGAUUUCAUUAUGAUCUUUGUUCAUGCCCACUCUUCACUUGCUUGACAGCCACUCUUCAUAGUGUCUAAGAUAAUGAAAGCAUAACUUCAUAUGUCAGGAUCUGCAAGGACAGGUUUUGCAGAAAACCUAUGGACCUAAAGCAGCUGUCAGCCAUCCUUGCCCUGGCAGACCUGGAGC